RNAcentral lists this ribosomal RNA (563 nucleotides) under uncultured bacterium. Its description in RNAcentral is "bacterial SSU rRNA". It matches the Rfam family "Bacterial small subunit ribosomal RNA", at positions 338 to 915 of the family's 1533-position model. The record is from RNAcentral.
CCUACGGGAGGCAGCAGUGGGGAAUAUUGGACAAUGGGGGCAACCCUGAUCCAGCAAUGCCGCGUGUGUGAAGAAGGUCUUCGGAUUGUAAAGCACUUUUCGACGGGGACGAUGAUGACGGUACCCGUAGAAGAAGCCCCGGCUAACUUCGUGCCAGCAGCCGCGGUAAUACGAAGGGGGCUAGCGUUGCUCGGAAUGACUGGGCGUAAAGGGUGCGUAGGCGGCGAGAUAAGUCAGGCGUGAAGUUCCUGGGCUCAACCUGGGGACUGCGUUUGAGACUGUUUGGCUAGAGGAUGGAAGAGGCUCGUGGAAUUCCCAGUGUAGAGGUGAAAUUCGUAGAUAUUGGGAAGAACACCGGUGGCGAAGGCGGCGAGCUGGUCCAUUACUGACGCUGAGGCACGAUAGCGUGGGGAGCAAACAGGAUUAGAUACCCUGGUAGUCCACGCCGUAAACGAUGUGUGCUGGAUGUUGGGGUUACAUAGAACCUCAGUGUCGUAGCUAACGCGAUAAGCACACCGCCUGGGGAGUACGGCCGCGAAGGUUGAAACUUAAAGGAAUUGACG